AACAGGAGAGAUGAGAAUGGAAUGUUAACAUUUUGGUAUGAAGCAGGUCAACAUUGAAAAUGCAAAAAGCCUGGAUCCAGCUUCCUGAAAAGAAGCUCCUUGGACCCUCUUUGCAAGUUCAGUGCUUAACCUGACCGAACUGGCUGCCCUUCGGCCUGACCUUGGGAAACUGAAAAAGAUUCUGUAUUUUCACGAGAACCAGUUGAUAUAUCCUGUCAAGAAAUGUCAGGAGAGGGAUUUCCAAUAUGGAUACAACCAAAUUCUUUCGUGCCUGGUGGCUGAUGUGGUUGUAUUCAACUCAGUUUUUAAUAUGGAAUCCUUUCUCACUUCCAUUGGAAAAUUUAUGAAGCUGAUUCCUGAUCACAGACCCAAGGAUCUGGAAAGCAUCAUCAGACCCAAGUGCCAAGUUAUUUACUUUCCCAUCAGGUUUCCUGAUGUGAGCAGUAAACACUGGGCUACUCAUAUAAAACUUAUUUGAAGAGUGAGGAAUAAGAGUUUCCAGCAUUUGAAACUCAGAACCUGGUGGCUGUAGCAACACUCCUGUUCUGCCUCUUCCUGUGGCUAUCAGGUGAAUCCCUCUUUUUAUCCCUGAGUCCUGUUGGGAUAGCUGGCUGACGUCAUGAGGCGUGGGCUGAUGUUCUG
This 642-nucleotide small RNA is filed under the name Pan troglodytes (chimpanzee). RNAcentral's name for it is "processed transcript". The record is from RNAcentral. Lineage: Eukaryota; Metazoa; Chordata; Mammalia; Primates; Hominidae.